GUUAUAUCCGCAAAGGACUACAUGGCACACUUGAUAGCACGUAUGUAGGUUGUCAAUAUCAUUUGACCUAAACUUUCAUUCUUGACUUGUGCAUUGUACAAGCCUACGUUGGAAAAUGUCAGGACUUGUUAGACAUUCUUUAAACAGAAUUGUACCUGUUAUGCGUUCUAAUGUUGUACAAAAAGCCUCAGUCAUCUCAGGUCCACCAAGAAACCCUGUACCAUUUACGACAAAGCUUGCAGUUGGUGGUGUGAUGUGCUUUACUAUUGUUGCUCCCAUGUUCUGGAUAAUGGCCAAUAUCAAGCACUACAAAAAUCCCAAUGGUGUCUCUUCCUAAGUAGAGACAACAUUUUCUAGUGACCAGUGCUGCAAGGACAAGGAAGAAUGAGCUUGUCUGAGAUAUCGUUAUCACCUGAGUUAUAAAUUAUUACUUUGUUGAAUGAUUUGAAAUAGUUUGUGUGACAUUUUCAACACAUAAAUAGAUACGAUUUUUACUUAACUAAA
This is a long non-coding RNA of Biomphalaria glabrata, 504 nucleotides long. RefSeq lists it as uncharacterized. The record is from RefSeq and is a predicted model, not a curated record. The transcript is spliced from 3 exons. Lineage: Eukaryota; Metazoa; Mollusca; Gastropoda; Planorbidae.